This 300-nucleotide ribosomal RNA is filed under the name uncultured Oxalobacteraceae bacterium. Its description in RNAcentral is "bacterial SSU rRNA". It matches the Rfam family "Bacterial small subunit ribosomal RNA", at positions 115 to 418 of the family's 1533-position model. Lineage: Bacteria; Pseudomonadati; Pseudomonadota; Betaproteobacteria; Burkholderiales; Oxalobacteraceae. The record is from RNAcentral.
AUAUCGGAACGUACCCAAGAGUGGGGGAUAACGUAGCGAAAGUUACGCUAAUACCGCAUACGAUCUAAGGAUGAAAGCAGGGGAUCUUCGGACCUUGUGCUCCUGGAGCGGCCGAUAUCUGAUUAGCUAGUUGGUGAGGUAAAGGCUCACCAAGGCGACGAUCAGUAGCUGGUCUGAGAGGACGACCAGCCACACUGGAACUGAGACACGGUCCAGACUCCUACGGGAGGCAGCAGUGGGGAAUAUUGCACAAUGGGCGAAAGCCUGAUGCAGCGACGCCGCGUGGGGGAUGACGGUCUU